Molecule: long non-coding RNA, 218 nt
Filed under: Elaeis guineensis (African oil palm)
Lineage: Eukaryota; Viridiplantae; Streptophyta; Magnoliopsida; Arecales; Arecaceae
Description: long non-coding RNA (EGUI_LNC019832)
Source: RNAcentral
CUUCCUUGCCAAGGUCAAAAACAUGUAUACUGUUGUGGAUAGAAAAUUCUUUCUUUGGAUAAAGCCGAUGCAUAGAAAAGUUGGGCUUGGUCCAAUCUUGAUGAUGACCGAUCCAGACUGAUAUUUCAGAAAAAUAUCAUAUUUGAUAUUAUUAUCUGAUUUAUGCUAGCUGAAAAAAUUUUAAAAUCCAUAUGAUAAUCUACCAUGAGAGGAUAAGG